UGAGGAAUAUUGGUCAAUGGGCGCAAGCCUGAACCAGCCAUCCCGCGUGCAGGAUGACGGCCCUAUGGGUUGUAAACUGCUUUUAUACAGGAAGAAAAAUCUCUACGUGUAGAGACUUGCCGGUACUGUAUGAAUAAGCAUCGGCUAACUCCGUGCCAGCAGCCGCGGUAAUACGGAGGAUGCAAGCGUUAUCCGGAUUCAUUGGGUUUAAAGGGUGCGUAGGCGGCUUUUUAAGUCAGUGGUGAAAUCCUGUCGCUCAACGAUAGAAUUGCCAUUGAUACUGAAAAGCUUGAGUUCAGUUGAGGUAAGCGGAAUGUGUAAUGUAGCGGUGAAAUGCUUAGAUAUUACACAGAACACCGAUUGCGAAGGCAGCUUACUAAACUGACACUGACGCUGAUGCACGAAAGCGUGGGGAUCGAACA
Molecule: ribosomal RNA, 422 nt
Filed under: uncultured bacterium
Lineage: Bacteria
Description: bacterial SSU rRNA
Rfam family: Bacterial small subunit ribosomal RNA
Source: RNAcentral